Molecule: unclassified non-coding RNA, 225 nt
Filed under: plant metagenome
Description: partial contains small subunit ribosomal RNA, internal transcribed spacer 1, and 5.8S ribosomal RNA
Source: RNAcentral
UCUCCGUUGGUGAACCAGCGGAGGGAUCAUUACAAGAAUAGGGUGCCCCCCGGCUCUAUCGAACCCCGCGAACCCCAUACCGGCAGCUCGCCCCGGCGCCGCGCCGCGCCUCGCGGCCGGCGCGCGCCGGGCGCGCAGGGCUCUCUCCGUCGCGCACCCAGUGCACUCUGAUCGUGGCCACCUAGACGAAUUUAAAAACUUUCAACAACGGAUCUCUUGGCUCCA